GUUCCGGGCGGGAACAGCCGGUGCGUCACGCGGGCGGCCGGUCGCUUCUGUUCCGCAGAGUCAUUCAGGUUGGAAAAGCAGGAUCAGGAAGGCCAGCUGUCCAUUUAAGACUACAAGUGCACCGCUAAGCCAUGGCUUAGAAGAAACAUGCCCUAAUAUCCGACCUGAGCCUCCCCCGGUGCAGACCGCAGGAACGUGGUCCUUGGGGGACCGCAGAGCUUCGUGCACUGGAUUCUCACUGUGGGGAUGGAUGCAGGAGCAGCGUUGCCAGAGUGCAAACUUAUGGGCUUUUCGACCAAAGCCACGCAUCUGUAGUUGUCCUCUGUGAAGGGAAUUGAUGUUUACGUGGCUUCUUUGUUUACGCACUGCGAAAAGGUCUAAACAAACUGAAGUAAAAGACUGAAGUCUCUGAUGAGCUGGAUGUUACCUACCAGCAGAACUGAUCAAGGAGCGCUUGCCUGCAUCUCCAGAUCUUCUGGGUCACGUGUGGGAAGAGAAAGAACAGCCAGGAUUCAUUAAGAGCAGACAGAUUUCAUUGCAGAAGGUCAGACCAGAGGAAAAUGAGCAAAAACUUCUUCAUGAAGCAGGAUGAUGGAAGUGAACAUAUUACUGCAGCAGUGCAGAAGUCCUUACAGCCCUAUUCUCAACUGUGG
Long non-coding RNA from Phasianus colchicus (ring-necked pheasant), 653 nucleotides. RefSeq lists it as uncharacterized. The record is from RefSeq and is a predicted model, not a curated record. Lineage: Eukaryota; Metazoa; Chordata; Aves; Galliformes; Phasianidae.